UCUGCCCCUACAGGCAUAGGAAGUGUGUCUUCUGUGUCACAUCAGUAGAUGUCAGAGAAGAGAGAGGCUAUGUCUACACUCAGGGUUCUGACUUGUGAACAUCUAAAUGAUUAGUAGCCUAAGACU
Small nucleolar RNA from Acomys russatus (golden spiny mouse), 126 nucleotides. RefSeq annotates it as small nucleolar RNA SNORA17. The transcript has a single exon. Lineage: Eukaryota; Metazoa; Chordata; Mammalia; Rodentia; Muridae. The record is from RefSeq and is a predicted model, not a curated record.